GAAAGUAAUUAAGGGCGCAUGGCGGAUGCCUUGGCUCAUGGAGGCGAUGAAGGACGUGAUAAGCUGCGAUAAGCUGCGGGUAGGUGCAAAUAACCAUUAAUCCGCGGAUUUCCGAAUGGGACAACCCAAUUACCAUAAGGUAAUUAUCAUAUAUAUGAUAUAUGAGGCGAACCGAGGGAACUGAAACAUCUUAGUACCUCGAGGAAGAGAAAAUAAACUAAUGAUUCCCCUAGUAGUGGCGAGCGAACGGGGACUAGCCCAAACCAAUGUUGUAUUUUGCAAUGUUGGGGUUGUAGGACUACGUUGUUGUACUUGAAUUGCGAGAAGAAUAUUCUGGAAAGUUUAGCCAUAGCAGGUGAAAGCCCUUUAUUCGAAGCAUGCCAAGACAUAGUAGUAUCCUGAGUAGCGCGGGACACGUGUAAUCCUGUGUGAAUCUGCCGGGCCCAUCCGGUAAGGCUAAAUACUCCCAUGAGACCGAUAGCGUACCAGUACCGUGAGGGAAAGGUGAAAAGAACUUCGAUAAGAAGAGUGAAAUAGAUCCUGAACCCAUGCGCCUACAAGCGGUCGGAGCAUUAUAUGAUGUGACGGCGUGCCUUUUGCAUAAUGAACCUACGAGUUACCGUCACUGGCAAGGUUAAUCCUCUUAAGUGGAGCAACCGCAGUGAAAGCGAGCCUUAACAGGGCGUUAAGUCAGUGGUGGUAGACGCGAAACCAAGUGAUCUACACUUGUCCAGGAUGAAGUUCCGGUAACACGGAAUGGAGGUCCGAACCAAUAAGCGUUGAAAAGCUUCUGGAUGAGGUGAGUGUAGGAGUGAAAGGCCAAUCAAACUUGGAGAUAGCUCGUACUCCCCGAAAGGCAUUUAGGUGCCGCGUACGAUGAUUAACGUAAGAGGUAGAGCGACCGAUAGGUCAAGAGGGCUUCACCGCCUAUCGAGACCUGACGAACUCCGAAUGCUUACGCUUUGCAGUCGUGCAGUAAGGGGGCGGGUGCUAAGGUCCGUCCCCGAGAGGAGAAGAAUCCAGACCGUCGUUUAAGGUCCCCAAAUUCUGUCUAAGUUAGUCUAACGAAGUCUGGUCCCCAUGACAGCCAGGAUGUUGGCUUGGAAGCAGCCAUUCAUUUAAAGAGUGCGUAACAGCUCACUGGUCGAGGGUCCGGGCAUGGAUAAUAAUCGGGUAUAAGGCAGAUACCGAAGGCGCGGGAUAGUAUUUAAAAAAGUAUCGGUAGGGGAGCAUUCCAUCGACGUUGAAUGAUAUAGGACAACUAUAUCUGGAGUUUAUGGAAAAGCAAAUGUAGGUAUAAGUAACGAUAAGGAGGGUAAGAUUCCCUCCCGCCGUAAGACCAAGGUUUCCCGGGCAAUGUCAAUCACCCCGGGGUUAGUCGGGUCCUAAGUCUCAGCCGAAUGGCGAUGGCGAUGGUAGAAACGGUUAAUAUUCCGUUACUGCUUUAAUGAGUGAUGGGCAGACGAAGAAGUGACACCACCGCGAGGCGACGGAAGUCCUCGUUGAAGAGUGUAGGAGUUGAUGAUUGCAGGUAAAUCCACAAUCAGAUCCGAACUUGAUAGUAUGGUUUUCUCCUCGGAGCGAACCAAUAGUGUGGGUAAUCCUGCUUCCAAGAAAAUGCUCUAAACAUAUUGUUAAAGCACCCGUACCGUAAACGGACACACGUAGUCGGGUAGAAUAUACUAAGGCGUUGAGAGAUUCAUGGUUAAGGAACUAGGCAAAUUGACCCCGUAACUUCGGGAUAAGGGGUCCUCAUACUGUAAUGGUAGUGAGGCGCAGAGAAUCGGUCCAGGCAACUGUUUAACAAAAACACAGGGCUGUGCUAACUCGAAAGAUGAUGUAUACAGUCUGACACCUGCCCGGUGCUGGAAGGUUAAGAGGAGAGCUUAUUCUUCGGAAGAAGGUUUGAAUUGAAGCCCCAGUAAACGGCGGCCGUAACUAUAACGGUCCUAAGGUAGCGAAAUUCCUUGUCGGGUAAGUUCCGACCUGCACGAAUGG
This 1998-nucleotide ribosomal RNA is filed under the name human oral metagenome. RNAcentral describes it as "bacterial LSU rRNA". It matches the Rfam family "Bacterial large subunit ribosomal RNA", at positions 1 to 1999 of the family's 2925-position model. The record is from RNAcentral.